AUCGUGCUCAACAAGAAUCACUCAAAGGGUGGCAGAGUGAUCAAGAACACCAAGAACAUCCUAAUGUCCUACGUCCAUGUGGAACUUACAUUCAAUGACAAGAAGAAUGUGCCAGAGUCCUUCAAAGGGACCAAGAAAGGCAUCGUCUACCUUACCCCUUACCGAUCAUCUUUCUGUCCAAGAAGAAGAACUCCAUGAAGCCUUCGUGAUGCCUUUUCACCUGAUGAAGGACUGUGAGAUCAACUAGCCUGUUUGCUGCCAACUACUUCAAAAGAACAGUGAAGGGUGAAGCGGGAGAUGGCUGGGAGGGCUGGGGUUCAUACAAGUUAACCUUACAGCAGUUUGGACAAUGAAUGCUCCAGGUGGCAUUUCAAGCCUCCAGGGGCGAGGCCCCCAAUGGAGGCUACGGGUACUCUUACAUACCCAACAGAGCCUAUGUCUUUCCUCUGCCAGUUGCCAAUGGAAUGUACCUUUGCCCUCCUGGCUACCCCAAUCCACAGUCCCCAUCUGAGUUCUAUCCAGGACCUCCCAUGAUGGAUGGAGCUAUGGGAUGCCUGCAAUCCCUGCCACUGCCCUAUCUGGGCUCAUGGAACCUCUGGUCAGUGGCCCCAUUGGCCCCUCUGCUCUGGCAGCCAAAGCCAGAGCCACAGAAGCAGUUGUCAGUGCCAGGCAACCCACACAACACCUACAUACCUAGGAACCAGCCUCUGCCACUACACUAUUACAGCCCCCUCCUCUGAAAAUA
This 745-nucleotide long non-coding RNA is filed under the name Homo sapiens (human). RNAcentral describes it as "non-protein coding lnc-H3F3C-9:1". The record is from RNAcentral. Lineage: Eukaryota; Metazoa; Chordata; Mammalia; Primates; Hominidae.